CUGUGCACUCUAGACAGACUGCCGUGGACAACACGGAGGAAGGUGGGGAUGACGUCAAAUCAUCAUGCCCCUUAUGAUCUGGGCUACACACGUGCUACAAUGGCCGGUACAACGGGCAGCGAAGGAGCGAUCCGGAGCGAAUCCUAAAAAGCCGGUCCCAGUUCGGAUUGCAGGCUGAAACUCGCCUACAUGAAGUUGGAGUUGCUAGUAAUCGCGAAUCAGAAUGUCGCGGUGAAUGCGUUCCCGGGUCUU
Molecule: ribosomal RNA, 252 nt
Filed under: uncultured Fusibacter sp.
Lineage: Bacteria; Bacillati; Bacillota; Clostridia; Eubacteriales; Fusibacteraceae
Description: partial 16S ribosomal RNA
Rfam family: Bacterial small subunit ribosomal RNA
Source: RNAcentral